CCCCUAACCUCGCCAGUGCCUCCCCCUCGCUCUCUUCCGCCCGGACUUUUUUUCACUCGGAUUCAGCGCCAUUUGGCUUGGAUACGGCGGGGUCCCUCGCCAGUGUGCUCGUCCCCUGGCGCGGGCCCCGGUCGCCUCGUCUCGCCUUCCGGACCUUACCUAUUGUGGAGUCGCGCCGCCGAAGAGCAGUAAGACGCGUGAAUACGAGUCGCGCCGCCGCCGAGCCGUAAGUCGCGUGAAUACGAGUCGCGCAGCCAGAGAGCCAGUAAGACGCGUGAAGAGAGACGCGCCGCCGGAGAGCUUGUAAGCCGCGUGAAUUGGAGUCGUGACUAGGAUCCGAGGGAGCCAGCCGCAACAGAGGAGGUGAUGCCGGACCAGCACGUGAACCAACAAAUUGGACCUUAGUCAGGGAACCAGUAUCAAUGACCGUGAUCCUGACUUGUCGACAGAAGACGAUGCAUUCAUAAGGAUAAAAGUGCCUUCCGGUCCAACCUAUUU
Phyllopteryx taeniolatus (common seadragon) is the source of this 498-nucleotide long non-coding RNA. RefSeq lists it as uncharacterized. The transcript is spliced from 2 exons. Lineage: Eukaryota; Metazoa; Chordata; Actinopteri; Syngnathiformes; Syngnathidae. The record is from RefSeq and is a predicted model, not a curated record.